Non-coding RNA from Maylandia zebra (zebra mbuna), 163 nucleotides. NCBI's taxonomy places the organism in Eukaryota, Metazoa, Chordata, Actinopteri, Cichliformes, Cichlidae. The record is from RefSeq and is a predicted model, not a curated record.
CUCACCGUGCCAGAGACCCAUCAGCAUUCAAAGCGGGCAGCUGGGUUAAAAAUGUUGAUUAUUACCGCUUCGAUGGUUCCACCAGUGCCACACUGAGGAAGAAGUGGGCAGAUGAGUUUAACAAUCCUGUAAAUGUCCGCGGCCGAUUGUUCCUCAUCUCAAC